Molecule: ribosomal RNA, 253 nt
Filed under: uncultured bacterium
Lineage: Bacteria
Description: partial 16S ribosomal RNA
Rfam family: Bacterial small subunit ribosomal RNA
Source: RNAcentral
UACGUAGGGUGCGAGCGUUAAUCGGAAUUACUGGGCGUAAAGCGUGCGCAGGCGGUUCGUUGUGUCGGAUGUGAAAGCCCCGGGCUCAACUUGGGAACGGCAUUGGAAACUGGCGAGCUAGAGUGUGGCAGAGGGGGGUGGAAUUCCGCGUGUAGCAGUGAAAUGCGUAGAGAUGCGGAGGAACACCGAUGGCGAAGGCAGCCCCCUGGGCUGACACUGACGCUCAGGCACGAAAGCGUGGGGAGCAAACAGG